GGGCGAUUAGCUCAGUUGGUUCAGAGCACCUGCCUUACAAGCAGGGGGUCGAUGGUUCGAAUCCAUCAUCGCCCA
Molecule: transfer RNA, 75 nt
Filed under: Bacteroidota bacterium
Lineage: Bacteria; Pseudomonadati; Bacteroidota
Also listed under: 2 other names
Description: tRNA-Val
Rfam family: tRNA
About the family: Transfer RNA (tRNA) molecules are approximately 80 nucleotides in length. Their secondary structure includes four short double-helical elements and three loops (D, anti-codon, and T loops).
Source: RNAcentral